RNAcentral lists this ribosomal RNA (444 nucleotides) under Salmonella enterica. Its description in RNAcentral is "bacterial SSU rRNA". It matches the Rfam family "Bacterial small subunit ribosomal RNA", at positions 1 to 441 of the family's 1533-position model. The record is from RNAcentral. Lineage: Bacteria; Pseudomonadati; Pseudomonadota; Gammaproteobacteria; Enterobacterales; Enterobacteriaceae. RNAcentral also lists the same sequence under 1 other name.
AAAUUGAAGAGUUUGAUCAUGGCUCAGAUUGAACGCUGGCGGCAGGCCUAACACAUGCAAGUCGAACGGUAACAGGAAGCAGCUUGCUGCUUUGCUGACGAGUGGCGGACGGGUGAGUAAUGUCUGGGAAACUGCCUGAUGGAGGGGGAUAACUACUGGAAACGGUGGCUAAUACCGCAUAACGUCGCAAGACCAAAGAGGGGGACCUUCGGGCCUCUUGCCAUCAGAUGUGCCCAGAUGGGAUUAGCUAGUUGGUGAGGUAACGGCUCACCAAGGCGACGAUCCCUAGCUGGUCUGAGAGGAUGACCAGCCACACUGGAACUGAGACACGGUCCAGACUCCUACGGGAGGCAGCAGUGGGGAAUAUUGCACAAUGGGCGCAAGCCUGAUGCAGCCAUGCCGCGUGUAUGAAGAAGGCCUUCGGGUUGUAAAGUACUUUCAGCG